UGUCUCAGUUGGUAGAGCAUGGUGUUUGCAAUGCCAGGGUUGUGGGUUCGAUUCCCAC
RNAcentral lists this transfer RNA (58 nucleotides) under Salmo salar (Atlantic salmon). It matches the Rfam family "tRNA", at positions 8 to 63 of the family's 71-position model. From Rfam's summary of the family: Transfer RNA (tRNA) molecules are approximately 80 nucleotides in length. Lineage: Eukaryota; Metazoa; Chordata; Actinopteri; Salmoniformes; Salmonidae. The record is from Rfam by way of RNAcentral.